This is a long non-coding RNA of Pistacia vera, 1443 nucleotides long. RefSeq lists it as uncharacterized. Lineage: Eukaryota; Viridiplantae; Streptophyta; Magnoliopsida; Sapindales; Anacardiaceae. The transcript has 2 exons. The record is from RefSeq and is a predicted model, not a curated record.
CAGUGUAGUAAUUUCCUGCAAGCCGGGUCAAAAAACCAAAAUUUUAAAAACCUAAAUCUAGAUUUGCAUCUUCAUUUCACUCUCUCAUCUUCGUUCUCGGUCUCCAUCACUCCUCUGUUGCGUUUUUCAUCAGUUCAUCGUCGUUGACUGAUUCUUGGUUUCUGUCGCGUUCACCUUCAUCGUGCUUCCUGGUCUUCGACUCCCUGUCGCUCUUUUGCCUUCGUCAUCGAUCGACUGAACAUAGCUAUUGCAAUUUACUACUGGAAUCAAUUUUCAUCAGCAUCAUCAAUAUCUUCAUGGUUUCACUUAUAUGAAGUGAAAUACUGCAACUAUCAACUCAGGACGAUACAGACAUUCCCUCAUGUUUGUAUGGGCAGGCGUUCUUGCAAAAUUGCUGGCCGAAAGGUCUCCCUUUCACUCUACACUCCCUAUUUGAGUAUUUGUUUUUGUUCAUUGACUAGCUCUUAUGUUCACUGUUAUUCUAAGUUCACUCGAAUACCACUUAUUUGAUAAAAGACCUCAGUCAGAUUCUUGUGAUCAAAUUACUCUUGUAUGCUAGAGUUUUAGAAGUUUGCGUGGUUUAUAGUGCCACUAAUUGUAUAUAUAAUGUAACUUGUUGGAUUUUGAUUAUGUUAGAUAACAUUUAGCAAUAGUAUAGGGACUCCUCUGUAUUUAAGUUGUAAUAAGAAAGUGAAAAAUUAUUUUGGAAUGAUUCUGAAUUGAAUAAUAAUUUCUUCGACGUUGAAGCAUGCUGAAAUAUAUGCAAGUAUAUAUUGAGUAUGGUAAUCAAUAUAUACUUGCAUAUACUUUAUACUUGUACUCAAGGAUGGGAAAGGAAGUCAUAUCUGCGUAAAUUAGUUGCUAAGUUGAAAAUAAAUCUAGAGUAUACAACAUUGCUCUUAUUAGUUUAUUGGUGUGAAGCUCUAACUCCCUUUUUUUGGGAUUUUAACAUUGAGUAUGGUAAUCAAUAUAUAUAUACUAGCAUAUUUUAUACUUGUACAGUUGUACUCAAGGGUUAGUUGCUAAGCUGAAAAUAAAUCUAGAGUAUACAACAUUGCUUUUAUUUGUUUAUUGGUGUGAAGCUGUUGCAAAGGGAUUAUUCUUUUAAAUGUUAUAGUUUCAAAUCGACUCCCUUGUUUUGAGAUUUUAACAUUGUAAAUUUUACAGCUACCUUUUUAUUUCCUGUUGGUUUUAUGAUAGCCUGUCUGCUUAUGAUAACCUUGGAGUUUCAAUGAUUGAAAGAACUUACUAAAUCAUUGUCUUGGUACCCGAUGAUGAAGUGUUAAGAAAGGUGGUUCAAGUCCUAUUUCAAAUAUGGUUGUGGCUGCUGUACUUGAGAAAGCCAAGGAGCUGUACUCUAGAUUUAUUUUCAGCUUUGAAACUAUAACAUUUAAAAGAAUAAUCCCUGGCACAUAUUGAUUUAUUCAUAAAUGUUUUAAGUAA